CAGUGUAGUGCAGCGCGCGCGCGUGUGUGCGGGUAUCCAGAUGGAUAUUAUGGGAUACACGUGCUUCAGCACUCUCUGGAUAUCACAUGAGGAUGAUGCCGACUGCGCUCUAUGGAGAUGAGCAGGACUCAGUCUCGUGGAUUAUUUCACACACGCGGAUUAACCUCACCAUCACCUCCACAUGUGGAUUACACUCACCCCGCAGCCGGAGGACACACGGAGGAUCUGGUGUGAUGGAGGAUCUCUGGCUGAACACAGAUGAGUCUAGAGGUGGUGCAGUGUGUGUGUGAGAGGUGUGUGUCUGUGGACACUGACGGACACUGAGGAUUGAUCAGAGAUAUCUGGAGGAGCUCACUGGACGUGUGACUGAUGUGUCGUGUGUGUGUGUGUGUGUGUUAUUGUGUACUCUAACUGUGUCUCUCACUGAUAUACACUGAACACAUCUUAAUAAAACACAUCAACUCUC
Molecule: long non-coding RNA, 466 nt
Filed under: Danio rerio (zebrafish)
Lineage: Eukaryota; Metazoa; Chordata; Actinopteri; Cypriniformes; Danionidae
Description: slincR
Source: RNAcentral